GAUGAAGAACGCAGCGAAAUGCGAUACGUAGUGUGAAUUGCAGAAUUCCGUGAAUCAUCAAAUCUUUGAACGCAUAUUGCGCUCGAGGCUUCGGCCAAGAGCAUGUCUGCCUCAGCGUCGGGUUAAUAUCGCUCUCUUCUACUCCUAGGAGUAAACCAGGGCGGAUCUGGUUGUUCCAGCGAGUUGGUGCUUGCACCUAUACACAAGCUGGAUCAGCUGAAGAACAGAGGUUAGCUCAAGGACCGUUAAGGGCCGCAACUGGGUAGGCAGCUCACGCUCGCUAUUUCUAGUUGUUGGCUUGGAUCUUGGGCUUGACCCUCAAACAGGAACCCUUCUAUUUUCUCGACCUGAGCUCAGGCAAGAACACCCGCUGAACUUAAGCAUAUCAAUAAGCGGAGGA
This 400-nucleotide unclassified non-coding RNA is filed under the name soil metagenome. RNAcentral describes it as "partial contains 5.8S ribosomal RNA, internal transcribed spacer 2, and large subunit ribosomal RNA". The stretch from base 1 to 120 matches the Rfam family "5.8S ribosomal RNA", at positions 35 to 154 of the family's 154-position model. The record is from RNAcentral.